GAUGAAGAACGUAGCGAAAUGCGAUAAGUAAUGUGAAUUGCAGAAUUCAGUGAAUCAUCGAAUCUUUGAACGCACAUUGCGCCCUCUGGUAUUCCGGGGGGCAUGCCUGUUCGAGCGUCAUUAUAACCACUCAAGCUCUCGCUUGGUAUUGGGGCUCGCGGUUCCGCGGCCCCAAAAAUCAGUGGCGGUGCCUGUCGGCUCUACGCGUAGUAAUACUCCUCGCGAUUGAGUCCGGUAGGUCUACUUGCCAGCAACCCCCAAUUUUUACAGGUUGACCUCGGAUCAGGUAGGGAUACCCGCUGAACUUAAGCAUAUCAAUAAGCGGAGGA
This 329-nucleotide unclassified non-coding RNA is filed under the name soil metagenome. RNAcentral describes it as "partial contains 5.8S ribosomal RNA, internal transcribed spacer 2, and large subunit ribosomal RNA". The stretch from base 1 to 120 matches the Rfam family "5.8S ribosomal RNA", at positions 35 to 154 of the family's 154-position model. The record is from RNAcentral.